GACGAACGCUGGCGGCGUGCUUAACACAUGCAAGUCGAACGGGCCCGCCCCUGUUUUUGGGGGUGGGUUGAGUGGCGAACGGGUGAGUAUCACGUGAGUAACCUGCCCCCUGCUCCUGGAUAACUGCUUGAAAGGGCGGCUAAUACGGGGUGUGCCGGCUGGUCCGCAUGGGCCUGGUCGGGAUAGUUUCAUCUUCGGGUGUUUCGGUGGGGGAUGGGCUCGCGGCCUAUCAGCUUGUUGGUGGGGUGAUGGCCCACCAAGGCGGUGACGGGUAGCCGGCCUGGGAGGGUGGGCGUCCACACUGGGACUGAGACACGGCCCAGACUCCUGCGGGAGGCAGCAGUGGGGGGUAUUGCACAAUGGGCGGAAGCCUGAUGCAGCGACGUCGCGUGAGGGAUGGAGGCCUUCGGGUUGUGAACCUCUUUCUCCGGUGGUGAAGGCCCUGUCCGUUGCGGCGGGGUUGACGGUAGCCGGGUAUGAAGCGCCGGCUAACUACGUG
This 499-nucleotide ribosomal RNA is filed under the name uncultured bacterium. Its description in RNAcentral is "partial 16S ribosomal RNA". It matches the Rfam family "Bacterial small subunit ribosomal RNA", at positions 28 to 507 of the family's 1533-position model. The record is from RNAcentral.